Molecule: ribosomal RNA, 253 nt
Filed under: uncultured bacterium
Lineage: Bacteria
Description: partial 16S ribosomal RNA
Rfam family: Bacterial small subunit ribosomal RNA
Source: RNAcentral
GACGAACCGUCCGAACGUUAUUCGGAAUUACUGGGCGUAAAGGGCUCGUAGGCGGCCAACUAAGUCAGACGUGAAAUCCCUCGGCUUAACCGGGGAACUGCGUCUGAUACUGGAUGGCUUGAGUUCGGGAGAGGGAUGCGGAAUUCCAGGUGUAGCGGUGAAAUGCGUAGAUAUCUGGAGGAACACCGGUGGCGAAGGCGGCAUCCUGGACCGAGACUGACGCUGAGGAGCGAAAGCCAGGGGAGCAAACGGG